This 786-nucleotide long non-coding RNA is filed under the name Homo sapiens (human). Its description in RNAcentral is "HSALNT0296830". Lineage: Eukaryota; Metazoa; Chordata; Mammalia; Primates; Hominidae. The record is from RNAcentral.
GAUUAACCCCUGCCAAUCGGAGGUCUAUGGGAAACAGGGUGUCCCUGUGCCACCCAGGCUGGAGUGCAGUGUUAUGAUUUCACCUCACUGCAACCUCUACCUCCCGGAGUUCUAGCGAUCCUCCCACCUCAGCCUCCUGAGUAGCUGGAAUUACAGGCAUGCAUCACCAUGCCCAGCUAAUUUCUUGUAUUUUUAGUAGAGAUGGGAUUUCGCUAUGUUGGCCAGGCUGGUCUCGAACUCUUGACCUCAGGUGAUUGGCCCACCUCGGCCUCCCAAAGUGCUGGGAUUACAGGAGUGAGCUACUGAGCCCGGCCUGAUCUACAUUUUGAUUGCGCUGUUGGUUAUACAGAUGAGGGGACUGAAGCUCAGAGAGUUGCCAAGGACUGAGACCCAAGUAUCCUGACUCCAAAGACCAAGUGUUCAUCUACCUUACCCCAGGAUCUACCACGAGAGUUAAACUGGUGGCUUUGGGGAAGAAGGAUGAGCCCAACCUAGCUUCAGCUGACUGCCCUCUUUCAACUUGUCCCUGCUCCUCCCACCCUUCUCCCUCCACACACACAUUUAAUGCAGCUUCUAACAUGUACUGAUAACAUUAUUACCUUCUCUUCAGGGAAAUUCUGAGAAUGCUCUUGUUAUUUAAAAAGUUGAUAAAUUCUGUCCAUUUGCAGUCAUAGUGUUGUAUAGUACCUUAUUUAGAGUUGUGAGUAUUUAUCUGUUAUAGAAGAACUGCCGUAUACAUCCUUAAGUCACGGUAGGAAAUAUUCCAAAUUAGAACAUCCACUCCAG